Nocardiopsis flavescens is the source of this 2092-nucleotide ribosomal RNA. It matches the Rfam family "Bacterial large subunit ribosomal RNA", at positions 952 to 2925 of the family's 2925-position model. The record is from Rfam. NCBI's taxonomy places the organism in Bacteria, Bacillati, Actinomycetota, Actinomycetes, Streptosporangiales, Nocardiopsidaceae.
AACUCCGAAUGCCGGUUAAGUGAAGCGUGGCAGUGAGACUGCGGGGGAUAAGCUUCGUAGUCGAGAGGGAAACAGCCCAGAUCAUCAGCUAAGGCCCCUAAGCGUGUGCUAAGUGGGAAAGGUUGUGGAGUUGCUGAGACAACCAGGAGGUUGGCUUAGAAGCAGCCAUCCUUUAAAGAGUGCGUAAUAGCUCACUGGUCAAGUGGUUCUGCGCCGAUAAUGUAGCGGGGCUUAAGCACACCGCCGAAGCUGUGGAGCCCGGUUUUCCGGGUUGGUAGGGGAGCGUCGUGCGUUCGGUGAAGCCGCCGAGUGAUCGUGUGGUGGAGGGCGUGCGAGUGAGAAUGCAGGCAUGAGUAGCGAUAGCAACGUGAGAAACGUUGCCGCCGAUUGACUAAGGGUUCCUGGGGCAGGUUAAUCCGCCCAGGGUGAGUCUGGACCUAAGGCGAGGCCGACAGGCGUAGUCGAUGGAUAACGGGUUGAUAUUCCCGUACCCGUGCACGAGCGUCCAGUAUCGAAUCAGGUGAUGCUAACCACGCUGGUCCUUGGUGGUUCCUUCGGGAGCUGCCUCUGGUCUGGUCUGGGAUCCGAGCUUGUAGUAGGUAAGUGAUGGGGUGACGCAGGAGGGUAGCUCUACCCGGCGGUGGUUGUCCGGGGGUAAGCGUGUAGGCUGGGGGGUUGGCAAAUCCGCCCCUUGUGAAGGCUGAGACGUGAUGCGGAGCCGUUUUUGGCGAAGUGAGUGAUCCCAUGCUGUCGAGAAAAGCCUCUAGCGAGUUCGUGAGCGGCCAGUACCCUAAACCGACGCAGGUGGUCAGGUAGAGAAUACCGAGGCGUUCGGGUGAACCAUGGUUAAGGAACUCGGCAAAUUGUCCCCGUAACUUUGGGAGAAGGGGAGCCCUGUCUGGUGAAGGCCUUUGCGGCUGGAGCUGGGUGGGGUCGCAGAUAGCGGGGGGAAGCGACUGUUUAUUAAAAACACAGGUCCGUGCGAAGUCGUAAGACGCUGUAUACGGACUGACGCCUGCCCGGUGCUGGAACGUUAAGAGGACUGGUCAAUGGGGUUCGUCCCUGUGAAGCUGGGAAUCUAAGCGCCAGUAAACGGCGGUGGUAACUAUAACCAUCCUAAGGUAGCGAAAUUCCUUGUCGGGUAAGUUCCGACCUGCACGAAUGGCGUAACGACUUCCCCACUGUCUCAACCAUGGGCCCGGUGAAAUUGCACUACGAGUAAAGAUGCUCGUUUCGCGCAGCAGGACGGAAAGACCCCGGGACCUUCACUAUAGCUUGACAUUGGUGUUUGGGAUGGUUUGUGUAGGAUAGGUGGGAGCCGGUGAAGCUAUCACGCUAGUGGUGGUGGAGGCGUUGGUGAAAUACCACUCUGACUGUUUCGGGCAUCUAACCUUGGGCCGUGAUCCGGUUCGGGGACAGUGUCUGGUGGGUAGUUUAACUGGGGCGGUUGCCUCCCAAAGAGUAACGGAGGCGCCCAAAGGUUCCCUCAGCCUGGUUGGUAAUCAGGUGUUGAGUGUAAGUGCACAAGGGAGCUUGACUGUGAGACGGACGUGUCGAGCAGGAGCGAAAGCUGGGACUAGUGAUCCGGCACCGGCGUGUGGAAGCGGUGUCGCUCAACGGCUAAAAGGUACCCCGGGGAUAACAGGCUGAUCUUCCCCAAGAGUCCAUAUCGACGGGAUGGUUUGGCACCUCGAUGUCGGCUCGUCGCAUCCUGGGGCUGGAGUUGGUCCCAAGGGUUGGGCUGUUCGCCCAUUAAAGCGGCACGCGAGCUGGGUUUAGAACGUCGUGAGACAGUUCGGUCCCUAUCCGCUGUGCGCGUUGGAGACUUGAGAAGGGCUGUCCCUAGUACGAGAGGACCGGGACGGACGAACCUCUGGUGUGCCAGUUGUCCUGCCAAGGGCAUGGCUGGUUGGCUACGUUCGGGAGGGAUAACCGCUGAAAGCAUCUAAGCGGGAAGCUUGCUUCGAGAUGAGGUCUCCUGCCUCCUUUGAGAGGGUAAGGCUCCCUAGAGACGAUGGGGUUGAUAGGCCGGGUGUGGAAGCCCUGUGAGGGGUGGAGCUGACCGGUACUAAUAGGCCGAGGGCUUGUCCGC